UUCAAUAUUGAUUGAAAAUAAAAUCCAAGUGUGAUACAGAGGAGAUUAGCAUGUCCUUUGACAUGCUAGGAUGAAUCACACAUUUGUGAAGCGUCUCAUAUUUUU
Molecule: small nuclear RNA, 105 nt
Organism: Echinops telfairi (small Madagascar hedgehog)
Lineage: Eukaryota; Metazoa; Chordata; Mammalia; Afrosoricida; Tenrecidae
Source: RefSeq, a predicted model, not a curated record